RNAcentral lists this ribosomal RNA (713 nucleotides) under uncultured bacterium. Its description in RNAcentral is "bacterial SSU rRNA". It matches the Rfam family "Bacterial small subunit ribosomal RNA", at positions 118 to 810 of the family's 1533-position model. The record is from RNAcentral.
UGGGGUAAUCCUAUCCUCUUAGGCAGGGGAUAAUCAUUUGGAAAUCAAGUGCUAAUACCGUAUAAUACCAACAACCGCAUGGUUGUUGGUUGAAAGAUGGUUCUGCUAUCAUCUAAGAGAUGGAUCCCGCGGUGCAUUAGCUAGUUGGUAAGGUAACGGCUUACCAAGGCAAUGAUGCAUAGCCGAGUUGAGAGACUGAUCGGCCACAAUGGGACUGAGACACGGCCCAUACUCCUACGGGAGGCAGCAGUAGGGAAUCUUCCACAAUGGGCGCAAGCCUGAUGGAGCAACGCCGCGUGUGUGAUGAAGGGUUUCGGCUYGUAAAACACUGUUAUAAGAGAAGAACGGCACUGAGGGUAACUGUUCAGUGUGUGACGGUAUCUUACCAGAAAGGAACGGCUAAAUACGUGCCAGCAGCCGCGGUAAUACGUAUGUUCCAAGCGUUAUCCGGAUUUAUUGGGCGUAAAGCGAGCGCAGACGGUUAUUUAAGUCUGAAGUGAAAGCCCUCAGCUCAACUGAGGAAUGGCUUUGGAAACUGGAUGACUUGAGUGCAGUAGAGGAAAGUGGAACUCCAUGUGUAGCGGUGAAAUGCGUAGAUAUAUGGAAGAACACCAGUGGCGAAGGCGGCUUUCUGGACUGUAACUGACGUUGAGGCUCGAAAGUGUGGGUAGCAAACAGGAUUAGAUACCCUGGUAGUCCACACCGUAAACGAU